Molecule: ribosomal RNA, 405 nt
Filed under: uncultured bacterium
Lineage: Bacteria
Description: partial 16S ribosomal RNA
Rfam family: Bacterial small subunit ribosomal RNA
Source: RNAcentral
GAUGAACGCUGGCGGCGUGCCUAAUACAUGCAAGUCGAGCGAAGCGGGGACGGGUGAGUAACACGUGGAUAACCUCCUAUAAGACUGGGAUAACUUCGGGAAACCGGAGCUAAACCGGAAACUUAUAGAUGGAUCCGGGCUGCAUUAGCUAGUUGGUAAGGUAACGGCUUACCAAGGCAACGAUGCAUAGCCGACCUGAGAGGUUGAUCAGCCAAACUGGAACUGAGAUACGGUCCAGACUCCUACGGGAGGCAGCAGUGGGGAAUCUUCCGCAAUGGGCGAAAGCCUGACGGAGCAACGCCGCGUGAGUGAUGAAGGUCUUCGGAUCGUAAAGCUCUGUUAUUGGGGAAGCGGUACCUAAACAGAAAGCCACGGCUAACUACGUGCCAGCAGCCGCGUUAAUAC